UAGUCCACGCCGUAAACGAUGAUAACUCGUUGCUGGCGAUACAUUGUCAGUGACCAAGCGAAAGUGUUAAGUUAUCCACCUGGGGAGUACGAUCGCAAGAUUGAAACUCAAAGGAAUUGACGGGGGCCCGCACAAGCGGAGGAACAUGUGGUUUAAUUCGAUGAUACGCGAGGAACCUUACCUGGACUUAAAUGUACGUUGCAUAGAUCAGAGAUGGUCUUUUCUUCGGACUAUGUACAAGGUGCUGCAUGGUUGUCGUCAGCUCGUGCCGUGAGGUGUCGGGUUAAGUCCCAUAACGAGCGCAACCCCUAUCCUUAGUUGCCAGCGAGUCAUGUCGGGGACUCUGAGGAGACUGCCACCGUAAGGUGUGAGGAAGGUGGGGAUGACGUCAAGUCAUCAUGGCCUUUAUGUCCAGGGCUGCACACGUCCUACAAUGCGGCGUACAAACGGAAGCUAACCCGCGAGGGUACGCAAAUCUGAAAAAGCGCCGCUCAGUUCGGAUUGC
Molecule: ribosomal RNA, 505 nt
Filed under: uncultured bacterium
Lineage: Bacteria
Description: bacterial SSU rRNA
Rfam family: Bacterial small subunit ribosomal RNA
Source: RNAcentral